GCACUGUAGUCUGUCACCACUGCCAGCAUAUGAGCCUGCAUUUGAUUGGGAGAAUGAGAGGUCUUUGAUAUUUGGCCAAAGGGUGCCAGAAAGUAUACCAGCAAUAAGCAACAGUGGCUUGAAGAUAACUGUCAAGGUACUAUCUUUGUCAUUCCAAGCUGGAUUAGUUGAACCUUUCUGAU
Molecule: long non-coding RNA, 182 nt
Organism: Zea mays
Lineage: Eukaryota; Viridiplantae; Streptophyta; Magnoliopsida; Poales; Poaceae
Exons: 3
Source: RefSeq, a predicted model, not a curated record